Ctenocephalides felis (cat flea) is the source of this 73-nucleotide non-coding RNA. Lineage: Eukaryota; Metazoa; Arthropoda; Insecta; Siphonaptera; Pulicidae. The record is from the annotation of a RefSeq genome assembly.
GGGGGAGUAGCUCAGUUGGUAGAGCGCUCACUUCGCAUGUGAGAGGUAUCGGGAUCGAUACCCGGCAUUUUCA